Long non-coding RNA from Populus nigra (black poplar), 627 nucleotides. RefSeq lists it as uncharacterized. Lineage: Eukaryota; Viridiplantae; Streptophyta; Magnoliopsida; Malpighiales; Salicaceae. The record is from RefSeq and is a predicted model, not a curated record. The transcript is spliced from 2 exons.
UCAGUACUGUAGAAGUGCUAGGCUUCUUUGGCUGUACGAUGGUAUUUCACUCAACCAAAAGGUACGGCGUGCUUCAGUUCUUGUGUUUUCACCGAGAUGUUUUGCAUUUGAAACCAUUUUCUUCCAUGGUUUGGUGAGUAAUUGUAAAUGUAAGUGCCGCAUAGAUUAAUCUAUUAUUGUUUAGAGGUGCGGUAAAUUAAUCCAUUAAAUGAAGGAAUGUGUUUUGUAUUCUCAGAUUGAUUUGUUAUUUUUGCGAGGCAUAGGAAUCGAAAGACUCUCUUUCUUGUUUGUGGGGGUGAUUAAAGCAAUCAGCAAGCGAAACAAAGCUAUGCAUCCGUAGACUUGCAGACAUUGGUCAUUGCACACCACAGGAUGGAAUAUCUUUCAAGGGAACUGGUUAGUUCUUACAUGGAAUUCAAGAAAAUCAACCAUACCUUGUUUGUGGCGAGACUUCCACAUUAGAAGCGAAAGUGUUCUCUUUGUAAUCGGAUGGUACCCAGUUUGGGAGCUGUCGGUGUUAAAUGUAAACGGGCGAUGUCAGUUUGAAGGCGAUUACUUUAUUAGGCUCACGCGCGGGCACUUUUAAAGAAUCGAGUCUUCAGAGAGACCUCGAUUCCCUCUUUGCCU